This 395-nucleotide ribosomal RNA is filed under the name uncultured bacterium. RNAcentral's name for it is "partial 16S ribosomal RNA". It matches the Rfam family "Bacterial small subunit ribosomal RNA", at positions 523 to 917 of the family's 1533-position model. The record is from RNAcentral.
AUACGUAGGGAGCGAGCGUUGUCCGGAAUUACUGGGUGUAAAGGGAGCGUAGGCGGGAGUGCAAGUCAGAUGUGAAAUACAUGGGCUCAACCCAUGGGCUGCAUUUGAAACUGCAUUUCUUGAGUGAAGUAGAGGUAAGCGGAAUUCCUGGUGUAGCGGGGAAAUGCGUAGAUAUCAGGAGGAACACCGGUGGCGAAGGCGGCUUACUGGGCUUUUACUGACGCUGAGGCUCGAAAGCGUGGGGAGCAAACAGGAUUAGAUACCCUGGUAGUCCACGCUGUAAACGAUGAUUACUAGGUGUGGGGGGACUGACCCCUUCCGUGCCGCAGUUAACACAAUAAGUAAUCCACCUGGGGAGUACGGCCGCGAGGCUGAAACUUAAAGGAAUUGGCGGG